GCACCUGUAGCUCAAUGGAAUAGAGCGCAGUGCUACGAACGCUGGUCUGUUAUGGGUUCGAGUCCCUUCAGGUGUA
Molecule: transfer RNA, 76 nt
Filed under: Lachnospiraceae bacterium
Lineage: Bacteria; Bacillati; Bacillota; Clostridia; Lachnospirales; Lachnospiraceae
Description: tRNA-Arg
Rfam family: tRNA
About the family: Transfer RNA (tRNA) molecules are approximately 80 nucleotides in length. Their secondary structure includes four short double-helical elements and three loops (D, anti-codon, and T loops).
Source: RNAcentral